Molecule: ribosomal RNA, 416 nt
Filed under: uncultured fungus
Lineage: Eukaryota; Fungi
Description: eukaryotic LSU rRNA
Rfam family: Eukaryotic large subunit ribosomal RNA
Source: RNAcentral
GACCUCGGAUCAGGUAGGAAUACCCGCUGAACUUAAGCAUAUCAAUAAGCGGAGGAAAAGAAACCAACAGGGAUUGCCCUAGUAACGGCGAGUGAAGCGGCAACAGCUCAAAUUUGAAAUCUGGCCCCAGGCCCAAGUUGUAAUUUGAAGAGGAUGCUUUUGGCGCGGUGCCUUCCGAGUUCCCUGGAACGGGACGCCAUAGAGGGUGAGAGCCCCGUCUGGUUGGAAACCAAGCCUCUGUAAAGCUCCUUCGACGAGUCGAGUAGUUUGGGAAUGCUGCUCUAAAUGGGAGGUAUAUGUCUUCUAAAGCUAAAUAUUGGCCAGAGACCGAUAGCGCACAAGUAGAGUGAUCGAAAGAUGAAAAGCACUUUGAAAAGAGGGUUAAAUAGUACGUGAAAUUGUUAAAAGGGAAGCAC